UACAGAGGUCUCAAGCGUUGUUCGGAUUCAUUGGGCGUAAAGGGUGUGUAGGUGGCGCCGUAAGUCGGGUGUGAAAUUUCGAGGCUUAACCUCGAAACUGCAUUCGAUACUGCGGUGCUUGAGGACUGGAGUUCGGCAGGGGAGACUGGAAUUCCUGGUGUAGCGGUGAAAUGCGCAGAUAUCAGGAGGAACACCGGUGGCGAAGGCGGGUCUCUGGGCCGAUACUGACGCUGAGGAGCGAAAGCGUGGGGAGCGAACAGG
This 261-nucleotide ribosomal RNA is filed under the name uncultured bacterium. RNAcentral's name for it is "partial 16S ribosomal RNA". It matches the Rfam family "Bacterial small subunit ribosomal RNA", at positions 524 to 776 of the family's 1533-position model. The record is from RNAcentral.